This 538-nucleotide ribosomal RNA is filed under the name uncultured bacterium. RNAcentral describes it as "bacterial SSU rRNA". It matches the Rfam family "Bacterial small subunit ribosomal RNA", at positions 770 to 1314 of the family's 1533-position model. The record is from RNAcentral.
ACUCAAUAGAUACCCUGGUAGUCCACGCCCUAAACGAUGUCUACUAGUUGUCGGGUCUUAAUUGACUUGGUAAACGCAGCUAAACGCGUGAAGUAGACCGCCUGGGGAGUACGGUCGCAAGAUUAAAACUCAAAGGAAUUGACGGGGACCCGCACAAGCGGUGGAUGAUGUGGAUUAAAUUCGAUGCAACGCGAAAAACCUUACCUACCCUUGACAUGGAUGGAAUCCCUGAGAGAUUGGGGAGUGCUCGAAAGAGAACCAUUACACAGGUGCUGCAUGGCUGUCGUCAGCUCGUGUCGUGAGAUGUUGGGUUAAGUCCCGCAACGAGCGCAACCCUUGUCAUUAGUUGCUACGAAAGGGCACUCUAAUGAGACUGCCGGUGACAAACCGGAGGAAGGUGGGGAUGACGUCAAGUCCUCAUGGCCCUUAUGGGUAGGGCUUCACACGUCAUACAAUGGUACAUACAGAGGGCCGCCAACCCGCGAGGGGAGCUAAUCCCAGAAAGCGUAUCGUAGUCCGGAUUGUAGUCUGCAACUCG